This 497-nucleotide ribosomal RNA is filed under the name uncultured bacterium. Its description in RNAcentral is "partial 16S ribosomal RNA". It matches the Rfam family "Bacterial small subunit ribosomal RNA", at positions 28 to 507 of the family's 1533-position model. The record is from RNAcentral.
GAUGAACGCUGGCGGCGUGCCUAAUACAUGCAAGUCGAGCGAACAGAUGAGGAGCUUGCUCCUCUGACGUUAGCGGCGGACGGGUGAGUAACACGUGGAUAACCUACCUAUAAGACUGGGAUAACUUCGGGAAACCGGAGCUAAUACCGGAUAAUAUCUUGAACCGCAUGGUUCAAUAGUGAAAGACGGUUUUGCUGUCACUUAUAGAUGGAUCCGCGCUGCAUUAGCUAGUUGGUAAGGUAACGGCUUACCAAGGCAACGAUGCGUAGCCGACCUGAGAGGGUGAUCGGCCACACUGGAACUGAGACACGGUCCAGACUCCUACGGGAGGCAGCAGUAGGGAAUCUUCCGCAAUGGGCGAAAGCCUGACGGAGCAACGCCGCGUGAGUGAUGAAGGUCUUCGGAUCGUAAAACUCUGUUAUUAGGGAAGAACAAAUGUGUAAGUAACUAUGCACGUCUUGACGGUACCUAAUCAGAAAGCCACGGCUAACUACGUG